GUUUCUAUUUUGAAAGCUAUAGUGUUACAGGCUAUCUGUAUGAAUUACCAAAAAAUUCACAAAAACGCAGCAGCUACUGGACUGAGCCAAUUUUGAGAAGGGCAUACUUUUGGGAAGGCCCAAACACCUGAAGUAUGGAAUAUAUGGGAGACUUAAAUACUGGUUAUGAGGUAGGAGGGCAUCUGCCCACCCCAAGCCCAAAAGUUUUGACAAAUACCUCCAAUACUUCCUCGCAAUUUGGGAUCCGGCGGUAGAGGGGCAUCUGGUCACCUCGAAACCCUUUGCUCCCCCAAACCUUUUUCUCACACCGGAACCA
RNAcentral lists this unclassified non-coding RNA (316 nucleotides) under Hevea brasiliensis (rubber tree). Lineage: Eukaryota; Viridiplantae; Streptophyta; Magnoliopsida; Malpighiales; Euphorbiaceae. The record is from RNAcentral.